UACAGAGGUCUCAAGCGUUGUUCGGAUUCAUUGGGCGUAAAGGGUGCGUAGGCGGCGCGGUAAGUCGGGUGUGAAAUCUCGGAGCUUAACUCCGAAACUGCAUUCGAUACUGCCGUGCUUGAGGACUGGAGAGGAGACUGGAAUUUACGGUGUAGCGGUGAAAUGCGUAGAUAUCGUAAGGAAGACCAGUGGCGAAGGCGGCUCUCUGGGACGGUACUGACGCUGAUGAGCGAAAGCUAGGGGAGCAAACGGG
RNAcentral lists this ribosomal RNA (253 nucleotides) under uncultured bacterium. RNAcentral describes it as "partial 16S ribosomal RNA". It matches the Rfam family "Bacterial small subunit ribosomal RNA", at positions 524 to 776 of the family's 1533-position model. The record is from RNAcentral.